Molecule: ribosomal RNA, 496 nt
Filed under: uncultured bacterium
Lineage: Bacteria
Description: partial 16S ribosomal RNA
Rfam family: Bacterial small subunit ribosomal RNA
Source: RNAcentral
AUGAACGCUGGCGGCGUGCCUAAUACAUGCAAGUCGAGCGAACAGACGAGGAGCUUGCUCCUCUGACGUUAGCGGCGGACGGGUGAGUAACACGUGGAUAACCUACCUAUAAGACUGGGAUAACUUCGGGAAACCGGAGCUAAUACCGGAUAAUAUAUUGAACCGCAUGGUUCAAUAGUGAAAGACGGUUUUGCUGUCACUUAUAGAUGGAUCCGCGCCGCAUUAGCUAGUUGGUAAGGUAACGGCUUACCAAGGCAACGAUGCGUAGCCGACCUGAGAGGGUGAUCGGCCACACUGGAACUGAGACACGGUCCAGACUCCUACGGGAGGCAGCAGUAGGGAAUCUUCCGCAAUGGGCGAAAGCUUGACGGAGCAACGCCGCGUGAGUGAUGAAGGUCUUCGGAUCGUAAAACUCUGUUAUUAGGGAAGAACAAAUGUGUAAGUAACUAUGCACGUCUUGACGGUUCCUAAUCAGAAAGCCACGGCUAACUACGUG